GUAUUCUGCACGGACUGCUGGGCAGCACUAGCACUCUGGAGAAGGUCUGCCGCUGUCUGCACUUUCCUGGUUCUAUGCAGGCAGAUGAGUGUCACAGCUGUAACUGAGGCACAGAGCAGUACACACAGUGGAGCCGAUUUCCGCGAUGGCGAGAGGGGGCACCGGAGGUGACAACAAUAACAAGACUGUCCUUCGGACAAGUUUUAGAUUCUCAGGAUGAUGGAGUGAGUGAUGGAAUAGGUUGCCAACUGUAGUUACUCCACUCAGCACAGAAUGGCUGCGGGGAAAUAUAAUCAGACAUGCCCAAAGAAGUCUGCUUAGGGUGAAACAAAUACCUUUGAGGUUUAAAUCAGGAAGGAGAGACUGUUUCUACAGGUGUCAUACAAAAAUCAAUACUGAGCCAAGGAUUAUUGGAUCCCAUAGAACCACGGAGACUUGGUAGUGAAAUUCUUCCAAAGCAUUCCAUCCGUGCAGGCAGAUGGUGUUCCUAGGUUUGGAAAUAUAAAUCCCAUGGGAAGUCAGCUGAAGACCAUUUUAUGCAUCACUCAUCCUGUUAGAGCCCUGUGCUGUUCUGUCUCUCUAUAAGACUGGCUGAAACCACCACGGUUGUUUACAAUUUAUGCUCUAACUUUGGAUCACCUAGUUAAUACUCUAACUCCGAUUAUUACCAAAGACAAUGUUCUAUAAAAGAUAUUGUCUAUUAGAAGGAUGCUUCUGCAUUAUUAAUAAAAUCACAGGGAAAAUGCAACAUUUUGGAUGUCACAUCUGAUAAGUGGGUGACUGAUCGUACCCGCCAGCUGGCUAAUGUCAUAAUUAACAAAGUUGCUACUACAUCUGCAAAGUUUAAUCGAAAAAUUUGCCAGUGAUAUGAUGGCCUUGUCACAGAGAUCACAAGGGACACGGAGUUGACUUUUGCUCAAGGUGGAACGACAGAGCUGUGUAGGCAAGAUGAGAAAUUGCGAACUUGUUCGGCCAAAGGAACGACUAUGCUCUGGAGAGUCCUGUAAUUUGCAGAAAAUGGACCAAGAUAACAUUUGAGUUCCAUGCUACCAAAAUCCUCUUGAGAAGGACAGCUAGCUACCCAGAAUAUUUAACAUUGUGACAUUGAAAUGUUGGAUGAACGAUUAAAAUGAAGAAUCUAGUCAUAGGUUGUAAGAAAUCGCUAAAUUAUUAUGUUUAAUCCAAAGAAGAGAAAGGAAAAGCUGUUUUCAUUCCCCCCAGCCUCUGAGGAGGCUAAUAAUGAAGGGGCCGGGAAGGAGGCCAGUGCUACCAGGGUUAUCUCACAACCUCAGAUGCUGGAUAAGUCGACGGAGGCAGAAUCGCUUUGGGAUGACAUUCAGAAAGCCUGGAGUGAUUACUUGCAAGAGAAAAGCCUACCUAUUCUUUCCAAGGUGCAGGAAUAUUCCCCUGACCUGCUCAUCCAGUGGUCCAGUAAUGAAUUACUGGAGACCUGCCUUAGACAAAGAAUGCACUCGGAGCCCCAACACACCUAAAGCCAUGCUUUGAAGGAUCUGCCAAGCUCACUUUUAAUCAUGAGAAAGAAAUUACCCACACGGAGUCAGCAGAAAAUGAGAAAGUAGAGCUCGUGCUGUGAAUAAUUCCAGCAAGUGCCAAGGGGCUAGUUGAGGAAUGGCUUCAUGAGAACAUGCUCUAGGGGAACUAUUAAUAGCCCACCAGUCGGGUAGGCAGCAUUCAAUCCUUCUAUGCCUUCUUUCGCCACCUGUUGAGGUCUUUCUUCUGAAACAAAGAAGAAAUAGACAAAUCAGACUUGCCCUCUUGGAAAUGUGGUCCAGAUUUCUCUACUCCCAAGCUCCAAAAAAGGUAUACAUUGGAUGGGCUAGAUCAACUCCUCCUGAGAGCCAUAAAUCCGCCAAGAGUUGUUUUCCAUGUAAGGGUGUGGUACAAUGGGGAACACCUGAUGUUGGAGGAAAGCAGGAGGACUUUAGAGUGGAGUUGCAUUCUAAUCUCUCUGCCGCUUCAACUAUGUGACCUGGGGCAAAUGAUAUAAACUCUAUGAGCCUCUUUCCUUAUCUUUAAAAUGAAGAGAAGUAAUACCUACCUUGUAGGGCUGUUGUGAGGAUUAAAUGAAGUAAUGCAUACAGUGCCUAACAAAGUAUUUAACAUCAUAUUUUUUAAAAGCUCAUGAAAUAUUAGUUUUUCUUCCUUCCCCUCUUUCUAUUUUCUCUCCUGUUCCCUUUUCUCUCCCUCCUCUGCCCUCUCCUUCCUUCAGAUGUUAGUCUAAAACAGCACCUUGGAUCUAAGCAGCACCUUUGAGAAAGAAAAGACUGCUUCAAGAAUGUCUAGUUGCACCUCCUUUCCGUAUGUGGCCUAAAUGCCUAGGUUGGAUCAAUAGUUUAAUUUUUUUAUUGAACUGUUUAAUAUUGACUAUGGACUUACAUUCACUUUUACUGUUUUCUGUAUAUUUACUUUUGCUUGAAGUGUUUUAAUAUUGACUAUUUACCUCUGCUCAUUUUUAUUGAUUUUCUGUAUUUUUUCAAUGAAAAUUAUAAUAAAAAUUAUUUUUGUUA
This 2528-nucleotide long non-coding RNA is filed under the name Homo sapiens (human). The record is from RNAcentral. Lineage: Eukaryota; Metazoa; Chordata; Mammalia; Primates; Hominidae.